Molecule: long non-coding RNA, 1100 nt
Filed under: Nicotiana tabacum (common tobacco)
Lineage: Eukaryota; Viridiplantae; Streptophyta; Magnoliopsida; Solanales; Solanaceae
Description: long non-coding RNA (NTAB_LNC019236)
Source: RNAcentral
CUGCCUAAUGAUCUUUGUCUGCUAGAAAUAUUCAAAUUUAAAGGCAUAUAUAAAAUAAGUUCAAAAACUUAUGCGAGCCGUAGAUAAGCUAGUUUUUACAAUAAAAUGAGUCAACUUACCUGAUAGCGGGGUUUGAAAUUACACCAUAUCCAGUACUCUUAGAAACGUGCACAUUUGCAAUAAUGAUAUGAUGCAAGACAUAUUACUAGAGGAAGUUUUCAUCUGCAGUAAUUCAUUUUUUAAGGAAAGUAAAAAACUAAACUACUAAAGUAUGAGCUAGAGAAAAAUAAAUUUGCCACCAUAGCAAGUAAAAGAGAUGCAUUCAUUGAAGACCAUGUACUGUCUUGAUAUUCCUCAUGUAGAAGUGAGAAAAAUAUUAGCAAGUUCCCUGACUGAAUAAUCCGCAGAAUAAAAUGUAUUUAUGCUCUCCCAAUUCCCAUAUUAUAUUAAUUUGCGGGUUAAUCAAUUUCAACAUCACACAACAGAACUAAAUUCUAAUUGGAAUCUGGAAAAAACUUUGCGUUAAAUAAAGGAGCUUCUUACUACAAUACUGAGUAAUCUGUAGCAAGAAGCAAAACAUCUAAUGGUCUUCCCUCGAAUGUUAACACUCUUUAAAAAAGAGAAUAAAUUUCAAGCUAGAUUGUCCAUAAGGGUUUCAUUACUGGCUCAAGCAAUAACUACAACUGAAAAACCCAAAUUUUACUGCUACUGAGAUAAAGAAAAUAAAUCAAAUUAAGAGGAAAAGAAAAAAAGAAAAAAAAUCACAUUUAGACGAGCAAUGAUAUUCUGAAGUUGAUUCGCCCAAAUGGAUACUUCACUUCAGAUAUUCCCAAGACACAAUGCAAUACCAAUAAAUCGUAUCCCUAGCCUGAAAAUACCUUAAUAAAAAACUACUUAAAUUGAAACAAUGGAGCAACACAAAAAACAUAAUCCGUGAUUCAAAAAUCAGAGCAGGAGCCAUAAAUUGAGAUGAAGAAUAAUACUUGCAAAAUGUAACUAAUAUGGAUAGAAAAUUGAGAGAGAGCGCAUAUGAAGGGAGGCAGUGCACUAGAGAAGAAGCAGUUCAGCCGAGGUGUUGAAAAGGAAAAACCUAGGGCUAG